Molecule: ribosomal RNA, 253 nt
Filed under: uncultured bacterium
Lineage: Bacteria
Description: partial 16S ribosomal RNA
Rfam family: Bacterial small subunit ribosomal RNA
Source: RNAcentral
UACAGAGGGUGCGAGCGUUAAUCGGAAUUACUGGGCGUAAAGCGCGCGUAGGCGGCUUUGCAAGUCGGGUGUGAAAUCUCCAGGCUUAACCUGGGAACUGCAUUCGAGACUGCAUUGCUAGAGUAUGGGAGAGGGAAGUGGAAUUUCCGGUGUAGCGGUGAAAUGCGUAGAUAUCGGAAGGAACAUCAGUGGCGAAAGCGACUUCCUGGACCAAUACUGACGCUCAUGUGCGAAAGCGUGGGGAGCAAACAGG